AGCAGCAGGAGCAACAGCCGCAGGAGCGUCAGCGUGGUGAAGCCACGGGGCUGCGGGGUCGUGGCCUGCACAUAUCGCUCCACUGCGUCGGCGAAGCUGAACUUGUCCGGCGCGUAGCCAAGCUGAGCGCGGGCCUUGGCAAUCUGGAAGCCUAGCGCGGUUCUGGACCUCUGGAGGCCUUGGAUGCAUUCUUGAACACCCGGAGAGUACGAAGGCUUCCUGCCUGUAGUGGGGAGCGGCUAUCCAGAAAAAUAUCUCCAAGGAAGGAUGUUGGCUUCCUGUUGCCAGCCCAAUACCAAUUGCAGCUGGCAGGGCCUCAAAAGCAGCCUUCCAGCACUCCCAGCUGCUUAAUUAAGUGUCCCUAAGAGAGGAAUUCAGUUAGGCACAGUGAUUCCUCUCUAAGUCGGAGCUGCAUUUGCCCUGUUUUCAAUUGGCCAGGGGCCCACCUGCUUCUAGGGUAAUAAAUGGCAGCUAUCGAUUGCAGAA
Molecule: long non-coding RNA, 486 nt
Organism: Phodopus roborovskii (desert hamster)
Lineage: Eukaryota; Metazoa; Chordata; Mammalia; Rodentia; Cricetidae
Exons: 2
Source: RefSeq, a predicted model, not a curated record